This 342-nucleotide long non-coding RNA is filed under the name Carica papaya (papaya). RNAcentral describes it as "long non-coding RNA (CPAP_LNC009270)". The record is from RNAcentral. Lineage: Eukaryota; Viridiplantae; Streptophyta; Magnoliopsida; Brassicales; Caricaceae.
UUCCUCCUCAAUACAUUAUCCCUUCAUCCUUCUUGUGAAAAAUAGCUUUUAAAUUUAUCCCUAUCACACCCAUCCCAAAAGAUUGCUGCCAACAUUCACCUUCUUAAAGUCUUAGCCUUAAACUAGUUGCCGAUCUUACAAAGUAUAACCUUCCACUUGGCUCUAAUUCUCCUUCUCUACCUACCAGGACCUAUAUUACAAUUUUGAGAACAGGUACUAUGGCCAAAUGCCAAACUAAUCUCAUCAUUAAUAUCCCUCUUGAACCAGUUUCUUUUUCCCAAGCCAAAUCCUAUCUAGAAUAGAGAAAUGGCAUGUGUAAGGAAUUUAAUGUGUUAAUUAAAA